Molecule: ribosomal RNA, 913 nt
Filed under: uncultured bacterium
Lineage: Bacteria
Description: bacterial SSU rRNA
Rfam family: Bacterial small subunit ribosomal RNA
Source: RNAcentral
UAGUUGGUGGGGUAAUGGCUCACCAAGGCGACGAUCAGUAGCGGGUCUGAGAGGAUGAUCCGCCACACUGGAACUGAGACACGGUCCAGACUCCUACGGGAGGCAGCAGUGGGGAAUUUUGGACAAUGGGGGAAACCCUGAUCCAGCCAUUCCGCGUGAGUGAAGAAGGCCUUCGGGUUGUAAAGCUCUUUCAGCUGGAACGAAACGGUACGCUCUAACAUAGCGUGCUAAUGACGGUACCAGCAGAAGAAGCACCGGCUAACUACGUGCCAGCAGCCGCGGUAAUACGUAGGGUGCGAGCGUUAAUCGGAAUUACUGGGCGUAAAGCGUGCGCAGGCGGAUUGUUAAGCAAGAUGUGAAAUCCCCGGGCUUAACCUGGGAAUGGCAUUUUGAACUGGCAGUCUAGAGUGUGUCAGAGGGGGGUGGAAUUCCACGUGUAGCAGUGAAAUGCGUAGAUAUGUGGAGGAACACCAAUGGCGAAGGCAGCCCCCUGGGAUAACACUGACGCUCAUGUACGAAAGCGUGGGUAGCAAACAGGAUUAGAUACCCUGGUAGUCCACGCCCUAAGCGAUGUCAACUGGUUGUUGGGGGAGUGAAAUCCCUUAGUAACGAAGCUAACGCGUGAAGUUGACCGCCUGGGGAGUACGGUCGCAAGAUUAAAACUCAAAGGAAUUGACGGGGACCCGCACAAGCGGUGGAUGAUGUGGAUUAAUUCGAUGCAACGCGAAAAACCUUACCUACCCUUGACAUGUCCAGAAUCCUGCAGAGAUGCGGGAGUGCCCGAAAGGGAAUUGGAACACAGGUGCUGCAUGGCUGUCGUCAGCUCGUGUCGUGAGAUGUUGGGUUAAGUCCCGCAACGAGCGCAACCCUUAUCAUUAGUUGCUACGCAAGGGCACUCUAAUGAGACUGCCGG